CUUGACACUGAACAUUGAGCCUUGAUGUGUAGGAUAGGUGGGAGGCUUUGAAGCGUGGACGCCAGUCUGCGUGGAGCCAACCUUGAAAUACCACCCUUUAAUGUUUGAUGUUCUAACGUUGGCCCCUAAUCGGGGUUGCGGACAGUGUCUGGUGGGUAGUUUGACUGGGGCGGUCUCCUCCCAAAGAGUAACGGAGGAGCACGAAGGUUAGCUAAUCCUGGUCGGACAUCAGGAGGUUAGUGCAAUGGCAUAAGC
RNAcentral lists this ribosomal RNA (255 nucleotides) under Klebsiella aerogenes. Its description in RNAcentral is "partial 23S ribosomal RNA". It matches the Rfam family "Bacterial large subunit ribosomal RNA", at positions 2110 to 2364 of the family's 2925-position model. Lineage: Bacteria; Pseudomonadati; Pseudomonadota; Gammaproteobacteria; Enterobacterales; Enterobacteriaceae. The record is from RNAcentral.